UCCAUAUUUUGAAAACAUUGUAUAUGAGUUUCAUUGGGAUGAAACUCUCUCUGCUCCCAUGAAACUCUUAUCAUCUCUUUUUUCAUUACUACAGCGCAGGCCCGUACCUGAGAAUUUUAGGCCUUGGUGCAAAUCAUACAAAUGGGGUCUUAUAGAGCAAUACAAAUAACUAAAGUGCAUUUGAUUUUAUUAUAUAAUCCAUGUUUUCUCACAAUAUCAAGAACUACAGACAGACAUAUUGAUGCUAAAAUAUUAAAUGUUGAAUCUAAACCUUAUUACUAUCUUCUUAACUUGGAGUAAAAAUCAUCAUUCUUCAGGGAUUCUUUGAAAUAAAAUCAUCGUUCUCUGGGUAUUCUUUAAAAUCAUCAUAUUUUUUAAUACUAGAAGACAUCAGAUAAAAAUAGAAUACCCUGUUUCGUGAAUAAAAACCCAACAAAACAAAUCAAAACGACAAAAACAUAUGACGAAUGUUACUAAUUAGCAAAGAAAGUAAAGGGCAUGUGCUUGGGAUCAGGGAUCGCCAAGUUGCUGCUUGUGCAGUCUUCCAGAAGAACGGGUAGCGGCGGCAGUGUCGGUUCGGCUCUCCAUGCUUCAACAUGUACUCCUAGUCAAAAUGCGAUGCAGGAAAUCACAUAAAACUAUUAGGCCGCCAGGCUACAACAUGAAAAAACAAAAACAAAAAGCCCAUAGAGACAUAUUAUCCUCUUGAAGCCCAAUCGGAGGGGGCCCUAAAAUUUGGAGGCCUAGUUCCAUCGCCCCACUUGCACUGGGCCAAAUACGGGCCUGCUACAGCGCCACAUCAGUAUAGUUAAUGUGCUUGAAACUCUCAUGAAACUCCAUUGAGACCGUUCUAAAGGAUCUCAAGGAACUCCAACGAUUGGUAGUGGAUUGACACAAGGUUAGUAGGAAGCUCGCACUAACAAAAUAGCCUUUCUUAUCUCCCC
This 944-nucleotide long non-coding RNA is filed under the name Sorghum bicolor (sorghum). RNAcentral's name for it is "long non-coding RNA (SBIC_LNC010806)". The record is from RNAcentral. Lineage: Eukaryota; Viridiplantae; Streptophyta; Magnoliopsida; Poales; Poaceae.